CCUACGGGUGGCAGCAGUGGGGAAUAUUGCACAAUGGGCGAAACCCUGAUGCAGCGACGCCGCGUGAGUGAAGAAGUAUUUCGGUAUGUAAAGCUCUAUCAGCAGGGAAGAAAAUGACGGUACCUGUUUAAGAAGCCCCGGCUAACUACGUGCCAGCAGCCGCGGUAAUACGUAGGGGGCAAGCGUUAUCCGGAUUUACUGGGUGUAAAGGGAGCGUAGACGGCAGCACAAGUCUGGAGUGAAAUGCCGGGGCUUAACCCCGGAACUGCUUUGGAAACUGUGCAGAUCGAGUGCAGGAGAGGUAAGUGGAAUGCCUGGUGUAGCGGUGAAAUGCGUAGAUAUUAGGAGGAACACCAGUGGCGAAGGCGGCGUACUGGACUGUGACUGACGUUGAGGCUCGAAAGCGUGGGGAGCAAACAGGAUUAGAUACCCUGGUAGUC
RNAcentral lists this ribosomal RNA (440 nucleotides) under uncultured bacterium. RNAcentral's name for it is "partial 16S ribosomal RNA". It matches the Rfam family "Bacterial small subunit ribosomal RNA", at positions 338 to 795 of the family's 1533-position model. The record is from RNAcentral.